UACGUAGGGGGCAAGCGUUGUCCGGAAUCAUUGGGCGUAACGCGCGUGUAGGCGGCCAGGUAAGUCCGUUCUGAAAGCCCGGGGCUCAACCCCGGGAGGCGGAUGGAUACUGCUUGGCUCGAGUCCGGAAGAGGCGAGUGGAAUUCCCGGUGUAGCGGUGAAAUGCGCAGAUAUCGGGAGGAACACCAAUGGCGAAGGCAGCUCGCUGGGACGGUACUGACGCUGAGACGCGAAAGCGUGGGGAGCAAACAGG
RNAcentral lists this ribosomal RNA (253 nucleotides) under uncultured bacterium. RNAcentral describes it as "partial 16S ribosomal RNA". It matches the Rfam family "Bacterial small subunit ribosomal RNA", at positions 524 to 776 of the family's 1533-position model. The record is from RNAcentral.